This 490-nucleotide ribosomal RNA is filed under the name uncultured bacterium. RNAcentral's name for it is "partial 16S ribosomal RNA". It matches the Rfam family "Bacterial small subunit ribosomal RNA", at positions 30 to 507 of the family's 1533-position model. The record is from RNAcentral.
AUUGAACGCUGGCGGCAGGCCUAACACAUGCAAGUCGAACGGUAACAGGAAGCAGCUUGCUGCUUUGCUGACGAGUGGCGGACGGGUGAGUAAUGUCUGGGAAACUGCCCGAUGGAGGGGGAUAACUACUGGAAACGGUAGCUAAUACCGCAUAACGUCGCAAGACCAAAGAGGGGGACCUUAGGGCCUCUUGCCAUCGGAUGUGCCCAGAUGGGAUUAGCUAGUAGGUGGGGUAACGGCUCACCUAGGCGACGAUCCCUAGCUGGUCUGAGAGGAUGACCAGCCACACUGGAACUGAGACACGGUCCAGACUCCUACGGGAGGCAGCAGUGGGGAAUAUUGCACAAUGGGCGCAAGCCUGAUGCAGCCAUGCCGCGUGUAUGAAGAAGGCCUUCGGGUUGUAAAGUACUUUCAGCGGGGAGGAAGGGAGUAAAGUCAAUACCUUUGCUCAUUGACGUUACCCGCAGAAGAAGCACCGGCUAACUCCGUG